Molecule: long non-coding RNA, 1526 nt
Filed under: Equus caballus (horse)
Lineage: Eukaryota; Metazoa; Chordata; Mammalia; Perissodactyla; Equidae
Description: lncRNA (ENSECAG00000048449.1)
Source: RNAcentral
CAAACAGUCAUUGGAAAUAGAACUAGACUGUAUGCUAUCUGGAAAAUUCCCUGAAAGCAGCAGGAAAGCUUAAUGAAUUUUGAAACUCCAAUUGAGGCUGUGACCUAAGCACCUGGCCCCUGCUCCUGUCCUCUGCCUGGAGACCACCCUGGUAUCUGUUCUGUACGGCCCUGUGUGGUGUGCCUCCUGUCUCUAGGACCUGAGGAUUUACGUACCUACAGGUCUACAGGCCCAUGGGCCUGGCCACAGAGCACACGGGUUACACGUGGAGGUUGCUCACCUGAAGUUGCCUCUGAAGAUGAUCACCUUCUGUAAGGCAACCCAGCCAGAGCCAGCCUGCUUUUACCCGGCUUCCAGUGGCGGUUUUGGAACACAUCCCCCAAGGAUAAGGGCGGGCUACUGUGCACCAGUCCCAUAUGGAUCUUAAAAGUGCAGCGGUUCAUGGUGUACUGAGAUCCGUGUGCAUGUUUUUCAACUAAAUCUGUGGCAGAUUCCAGUUUGCCUGAAUUUUUAAAGUAUAAAUGAUUUCAGCAGUCAAAAUAUACAUGGAGCAACAGAAGGCAACUACAAAACUCAUAGGACCUACAAACUUUCUAUGAUGGACUGAGUCGUGCUCAUCUGAAGGAAAUUGUAGCUGUCAUUGCUGGCGAAAUUGAAGGGUCCAGAUAUUAUCUCCACUACAACCUGGUUGGGCAUCUCAUAGUUUUCACUUUCCUACAGACCUACCUAUUUGAAGGAUGGGAAUCUGAAGGAUGGGAAUCUGAAGAAUGUGUUUGUCCAGGCCAGUGGGCUCCCACUGCUUCAGCUUCUGAGAAGGCCCUGAGACAGAAUGCCUACAGACAAAGGCCACAGGGAGCCAGAGAGAAGUUUUGAACUGAGAGACUGAAUAUACAAACAGACAAUGGCCAGACCGUGUAUAAAAAGAGAACUCCGACCACAACCUGCAGCAACCAGUCCAGGAAGCCAGCCUGCUCUCUACAAGUCAGCCUUGCAGGAAGUCAGACCUCUAACUCUAGUAACAGUCUGGGAAGCCAGACAAUAACCCCUGUAACAAUGGCCUCAAACAACCAGGAUUCGAUUCAUAACUGACGACUUGUCUAAUUUUUGUCCCUGCUUCCAACUUAGGACCAACGGGAGAAAGCCAAAUGUGUCCCCUAACAAUCACACAGGAUGCCCCACUUCUAGUCUGCUGGGCCUCCAGCUGCCCCAGACUAUCAGCUCCCUCAGGGCUCCCCCAGAGCCUUCCCUUUUCCACUGUAAAGCUCUCCCACUGCUCUGCCCGCCUUUCAGUCAAGUGAUGGAGGCUGACUCCCUUGCUAGAGCAAGCUCGGAAUAAAUGGCUGUUGCCUGUUCUCAUUUGGUUAGUCUUCAUUUAUUUCCACAGAAUCCAGGGAAGACAACUCAGACAGAACGUGGAGAAUAGAUGAGAAGUUGAAGAGACAGUGGCUGCGGCAGUCGCCUUUGCCGUGGGCAGGACACCUCUGCAGAACUACUAAUUAAUUGUCUUUUGUUCAUUUUGCUUUUCG